UACGGAGGGGGGCUAGCGUUGUUCGGAAUUACUGGGCGUAAAGCGCGCGCAGGCGGUUCUCCAAGUCAGUGGUGAAAGCCCGGAGCUCAACUCCGGAACUGCCAUUGAAACUGUUGAACUUGAGGACGAGAGAGGUGAGUGGAAUUCCCAGUGUAGAGGUGAAAUUCGUAGAUAUUGGGAAGAACACCGGUGGCGAAGGCGGCUCACUGGCUCAUUACUGACGCUCAGGCGUGAUAGCGUGGGGAUCAAACAGG
RNAcentral lists this ribosomal RNA (254 nucleotides) under uncultured bacterium. Its description in RNAcentral is "partial 16S ribosomal RNA". It matches the Rfam family "Bacterial small subunit ribosomal RNA", at positions 524 to 776 of the family's 1533-position model. The record is from RNAcentral.